CCCAGGACCCACGGGAGGAGAUUGAAGGGGCAUCCCUCCAUGUGACAGAAAGGGGGCUGCAGAUGCAGAGCGGUCAGUUGUGGGCCUGGGGGCACGCGGUUCAGAUAUGUUGGAACCAGAUCCUGACCUAAGUCAGCCGCCAGGACUCUGUCCCUCAGGGAGGAAAGCACAAAGGUCGGGGAGGACGCAGAGAUUGGGGUCAGGCAAUUCCAUCUCUUCCGCUGGCGCACCUCCAUCCUGUGUUCAUCCAUGAGAUCUACCAGAGCUCCUGGUCCCUGCACGCGAUGUAAAGUCA
This is a non-coding RNA of Kogia breviceps (pygmy sperm whale), 295 nucleotides long. NCBI's taxonomy places the organism in Eukaryota, Metazoa, Chordata, Mammalia, Artiodactyla, Physeteridae. The record is from RefSeq and is a predicted model, not a curated record.